This 305-nucleotide ribosomal RNA is filed under the name uncultured bacterium. RNAcentral's name for it is "partial 16S ribosomal RNA". It matches the Rfam family "Bacterial small subunit ribosomal RNA", at positions 505 to 807 of the family's 1533-position model. The record is from RNAcentral.
ACAGCAGUAGCCACGGUAAUACAGAGGGUGCGAGCGUUAAUCGGAUUUACUGGGCGUAAAGCGUGCGUAGGCGGCUUUUUAAGUCGGAUGUGAAAUCCCUGAGCUUAACUUAGGAAUUGCAUUCGAUACUGGGAAGCUAGAGUAUGGGAGAGGAUGGUAGAAUUCCAGGUGUAGCGGUGAAAUGCGUAGAGAUCUGGAGGAAUACCGAUGGCGAAGGCAGCCAUCUGGCCUAAUACUGACGCUGAGGUACAAAAGCAUGGGGAGCAAACAGGAUUAGAGACCCCCGUAGUCCCUGUCUCUUAUAC